GGAGGGGGCAAGCGUUGUUCGGAUUUACUGGGCGUAAAGGGCUCGUAGGCGGCCAUUUAAGUCGGUUGUGAAAUCCCUCGGCUCAACCGAGGAACUGCGACCGAUACUGGGUGGCUUGAAGCCGGGAGAGGGAUGCGGAAUUCCAGGUGUAGCGGUGAAAUGCGUAGAUAUCUGGAGGAACACCCGUGGCGAAGGCGGCAUCCUGGACCGGUCUUGACGCUGAGGAGCGAAAGCUAGGGUAGCAAACGGGAUUAGAUACCCCGGGUAGUCCUAGCCCUAAACGAUGAAUGCUUGGUGUGGCGGGUAUCGAUCCCCUGCCGUGCCGUAGCUAACGCGUUAAGCAUUCCGCCUGGGGAGUACGGUCGCAAGGCUG
RNAcentral lists this ribosomal RNA (373 nucleotides) under uncultured organism. RNAcentral describes it as "partial 16S ribosomal RNA". It matches the Rfam family "Bacterial small subunit ribosomal RNA", at positions 527 to 896 of the family's 1533-position model. The record is from RNAcentral.